Molecule: long non-coding RNA, 785 nt
Organism: Conger conger (European conger)
Lineage: Eukaryota; Metazoa; Chordata; Actinopteri; Anguilliformes; Congridae
Exons: 3
Source: RefSeq, a predicted model, not a curated record
GUUUGGGUAGAGAGUUUGAACAGAUGCACUUUGGAAGAAGGCAGGGGAAGCUCCCAGAUUUUGGGCUGAGGGUCGGACCUGAGCAAAAGGAUUAAAAACCAACCAAUGAAACUGCGCCGGGGUCUCAGAGACCACCUGACCGAUGGGGAUGCUGACCACCGGAGACUCCACACAUUUGAUUUAAGUUCACAGGACAAACUGUCAAACUUUCAGACGGCAGUUAAGCGGAAUUGGUGAAACGUUCCUCGAUUGAAAGGUCUUAAACAGGAAAAGGACAAAGGAAAAUCGAAGAAAGGGGAAAGGCAAAAAGAAUAUGGAAAGAAAAUGGAAAGUGCAGGAGAGAGCGACUCCCGGCUUCUGCAGUGGAAGCGGAGGGGAAUGAUAAAGCAAAACUCUUUCACAGACCGAGCGUGGCGCGGCAGCACCUCGUCCCUCAAAACGGAAACGUUCUCCUCUCUCCUCUUUCGUCUGUGACCUCACUCAGCUAUCCCAACAAGAACUCAGAGAGUUUCAGGGAGAAGCGAGAGACGGAGCGUGCCUCUUACCCUCCUUUCCUCCCUCCCUCUCUCGUGUCUCUCUGCAAGGGCAUGGGGGGGGGCGGGAGGAGGAGCAAAGAAGAGGGGGCUCAGGGAGGAGGAAGGCUGUUUGGCGGUGCUUUUCUCAGUGGCUCCAGGACCAAGUUAACGUGGCCCAGGCCACAGGCAUGGCGUCCAUGAGGCCACGGAGACAGAAUUGCCAUGGCUAGCUCAGAAAGGACUGGUUCCAAUGUUUCACAAAAUGUUAGU